UGUUGGACAAGCGGCGAAUGCCCGCGGCUAUGUCCUCCAAAGUUAAGAAGACUACUCGCAUAGUGUAAGUGUCUCCUCCGUUUAUCUAUCUAUUUAUUUAUUUAUUUAUUUUUACUUUUCAUCUAACCGUGGGCGGAUUAGGCCAACCAGUAGAAUUAGUAAGUUAGGUUAAGCCUAUCGUAAAUAUGCAAACAAGCAAUAGAGCCAGGCAUUGCCAGAUCAAUUUUUAGGUGAAAAUUUUGCCCAACUGAUUAUUACUAAGACUUCGACAGAUUUGAUCAAGGAUUAAUGUGGAUGAAUUCGCUUUCGUUUAUUCAAACAUGCAUGAAACAUGUGGAGAAUAAAACAAAAAUUCAGAAAAAUGAUCAAGUGGAUGGUUGGAAGGAUGGCCGUUUUCUAAAGUAUUAUUCAGAUUCUCUAUUGGCGUAUAUCCAACAUUCACCAUCUACCAAAGCUUGAUAGAUAAUGAAGCAGGGAGAAUACAUGGUCACGGCUAACCAGGCGUUAGAGUAUCUUAAUCUUAACUCUUAUAAAAAAGCCACGUGGUGGUGAUGGUACGUCGCCACUCACCACACCGUCACCACCCUUCCAAACCGCCGAAUUAGCUGAACUGCUUUCUCCAUUAAAAAAAAAUAAAACAAUACACACCCGCCGUCCAACUGCCUCCUCUCCCCCUUUGACGAGCGAGUAGAUCCAGGCGUCCAUUUAGCGGCUCUAGUGGAGAGGGUCAGUGACGGAGGAGGCGGCGGAGUGGCGGGCGUUGCCUCCUCUUCCCUUGCGUGGCGGGCGAUAGAUCCCGACGAUACAAGGAACGAAUUGGACGGAAAGAUUAGGAUUAUCGGGGU
RNAcentral lists this long non-coding RNA (845 nucleotides) under Brachypodium distachyon (stiff brome). RNAcentral's name for it is "long non-coding RNA (BDIS_LNC005242)". The record is from RNAcentral. Lineage: Eukaryota; Viridiplantae; Streptophyta; Magnoliopsida; Poales; Poaceae.